Molecule: long non-coding RNA, 797 nt
Filed under: Fukomys damarensis (Damara mole-rat)
Lineage: Eukaryota; Metazoa; Chordata; Mammalia; Rodentia; Bathyergidae
Description: lncRNA (ENSFDAG00000026952.1)
Source: RNAcentral
AUGCUGGUCAGAGGGGCCACAUGGCCGCUGUGCCACAGAUGCCAAGGGCAGCCACAGACAACACCGACGUGUCACUGCCUGGCAGCGCUGCAACAAAGGCUUAGUCACAGAAGCAGGCACAGUGCGGCAGCCCUCGGCGGACUGCUCAUUGCCCGUGUGCAGCGGGCUGUUCCGGGGUCGCUUGACGGGCCACAUCUAACUAACAAAAUACUGUGCCACACUCCACCUGACAGGCUUCACCUUCUACCUCUGAGCCGACUGGUCCCCAUUUUACAAGAACAAGGAGAUGCACAGACCUGGAGUAUUUGCUGGCAGAAGACACAGGUCUACCCUACGAAAGUAGCCAAAACUCCCAUCUUCAGAGAACACCUGCACCCUAACUCCAUCCCCCCGCCAUGCCAGACGUAUGUCCCUCUGAUCCACUUGUCCGCUUUCCCUCUUCAGUACCUAGCUCGGAGUCCAGCAGUGCUAACAACAACAUGAACUCCAUCGUUCCACCUGCCAGGUCCUGGACCAAAAAACGCCUUCUGAGGAAAGUGCUUAUUGGCUCCUCAAAUCAACCUGUUACUCCUACACACUGGGUAAAGUUUACAUGAAUCAAUAAAUAUUCCAAUCGCAUGUUUGUAAAUCCUACUUUAAAUGGAAGAAGGGCUUUGCACUUGCGAGACCCUCCUCACAUAGUUAUCCCAAGGAGCUCACAGGGCACGCGGGCCUCUGGAUCCCACCAGAACAGAGGUGUGAAGGAGACGGAUACAAAGUGGAACUCAGGUCUCUCUUAGCAAAAUGGUUCAUUUGUG